RNAcentral lists this ribosomal RNA (370 nucleotides) under uncultured bacterium. Its description in RNAcentral is "bacterial SSU rRNA". It matches the Rfam family "Bacterial small subunit ribosomal RNA", at positions 527 to 896 of the family's 1533-position model. The record is from RNAcentral.
AGAGGGGGCAAGCGUUAUUCGGAAUUAUUGGGCGUAAAGGGCGCGUAGGCGGCCGUGCAAGUGGAAGGUGAAAUCCCUCGGCUCAACCGAGGAACUGCCUUUCAAACUGCUUGGCUUGAGUCCGGGAGAGGUGAGUGGAAUUCCCAGUGUAGCGGUGAAAUGCGUAGAUAUUGGGAGGAACACCAGUGGCGAAGGCGGCUGCCUGGCCCAAUACUGACACUCAGGUGCGACAGCGUGGGGAGCAAACAGGAUUAGAUACCCUGGUAGUCCACGCCGUAAACGAUGUCGAUUUGGAGGCUGUGUCCUUGAGACGUGGCUUCCGGAGCUAACGCGUUAAAUCGACCGCCUGGGGAGUACGGCCGCNAUAUNG